This 71-nucleotide transfer RNA is filed under the name Aphaenomurus interpositus. RNAcentral describes it as "tRNA-Ser". The record is from RNAcentral. Lineage: Eukaryota; Metazoa; Arthropoda; Collembola; Entomobryomorpha; Tomoceridae.
AGAAAAGCAUUUUGUAAAUAAAUUAAGCUUCUAACUUAAAUUUCAAGCGGUUUAAGCCCGUUUCUUUUCUG